This 1061-nucleotide long non-coding RNA is filed under the name Anas platyrhynchos platyrhynchos (common mallard). Its description in RNAcentral is "lncRNA (ENSAPLG00000023357.1)". Lineage: Eukaryota; Metazoa; Chordata; Aves; Anseriformes; Anatidae. The record is from RNAcentral.
AUUUUUUUCAUUAUUUUCAAAACAAAUCACCCUCGAGUUGAAUAAAAGUAGUAGACAUUAAAUGGUUGGCUGAAAAUAUUGAUAGCAAUACUAUGCAACACUGGCAAAACAUGCUCAUUUGGGGAUGGUAUUACUGUUGCAGAGCUAUAAGAACACAUUUGGGAGGAAGGAAAGGGGGAAGGAAAAAAGAAAACGAUACACAAACACAUUUGAAAACUACAGCUACUUCAGUGAAAAAGUGAUGGUCCUGUAUUGAAGAUUGAAGUCUGCUGUUGGAGAUCAAACAACUAAUAAAAGAUGAGAGAAACCUCUGGUUCAGAUUUGUUGACACCAAAAACUACUGCUGAAGAAAAACAGGACAUACACCAAAUAUUGCAACAACCCUGCAGGUUUUACCAUGGUAUUUUUCUAAAAAUGAAGUGCUUUUAUUUGAAGACAACAAAGUACAUAUUUGAAAAGAGUUGCCAUCAUUAAAACAUAAUUAGAGUUGUGAAGCCACUAAGCAUCUUAAAUUGUGGCACAGUACAAUAUUUAUCAGGCUUCAGAACACAAUCACAUCUACGGCCAUCCUGCCAUGUUUUGUUUUUUCACUCAGCAAGAUUACCCAUCUGUCACAGUUUAGUGGAGUUAAACUUACCAUCUCUUUAUGUGACAUAUUCUGAGGUGGAAGAGUAGGGAUUAUAGGGUUGCACUGAAGACCAAGCCAACAAAAUGCCAAGAAAACACAUGCACUUAAGCAUUCCUUUAGAAAGAUUUUUUAUUUUUUUAAUUUUAUUUUUUUUUGCUGUUAAAGAAUAAUGGAGCUAAUACGAAACUUUGACAGGCAUAAACCUAAUGAAUAAUUCUGAUAGUGCAAUCUACAGGUGACUCGCAAGCAGUAAAUCGAAUGGUGUUAAUUUAAUGCAAGAAAUGAUCUUUAAAAAGCCAGAAAAAAAGGCAAAUGUAUAAUUCAUAUGGCUAAUAUUUGAGGUAUUUUGUACGCAAGUCUUCAUGUUUCCUGUGUCUACAUGUGCAUAUUCUUUUCACGUGGGUUAAAAAUAAAAAAGUACAAAUGACCUUCA